Molecule: ribosomal RNA, 147 nt
Filed under: Rhizophagus irregularis
Lineage: Eukaryota; Fungi; Glomeromycota; Glomeromycetes; Glomerales; Glomeraceae
Source: RNAcentral
CAGUCGUACCUUCGGGUAAUCAGCCUUUUGGGUGUGAUUUUGUGGAGCGUGAAGAGUUAAACGCCUUCAUGCCUGCAUAUUCGUGCACUUUGGGUGUACUUGCUCGUGUGGUUUGUUAACAUCAAUUUCGGGCACCAUAAAAUGGCU